AAAGCUGCAAUGAAACCCAAGCUCAGAUGGACGUUGCUCAGUCCGAGUUGGAUACCACAGCACAGAAAAGAAAGGAAAAAAAUGUCCUCGACUCUAUGAAGGAGCAACUUGAAAAAGCAUCGCAAAAUUACACGGAACUUCAUCGUAAUCUUCAAGAACUUGAAUUCAACAAUCCCAAGUGGGCAAAGUCCCUUUCGGAAAAACAGACUGAAUUGCAAAAGGUCACUAACGAGGAUAAAACGAAAAGCGAAGAACUCAGGAAUAUACGCAUCCGACUGGAGCAAAGCCGGUCGACUUUUUCUGCCAACACUAGCCGAGGACGCAUCCUUGACGGUUUAAUGGAGCAGAAACGAAAAGGAACGUUACCCGGCAUACAUGGACGCCUGGGUGAUCUCGGCGCUAUUGAUGAGAAGUUCGACGGCGUGUGGCCCUUUAGAUAACAUCGUCGUCGAUACCGUUGAUACCGCCAAAAAUGCAUCGCGUACCUGAAAAAUGGCAACUUGGGCAGAGCUUCUUUUAUCGCACUGGAGAAAAUGCUUCACUUGAUGGACGUCCAUGUGAUUUUUUAGUGUAUUUUUUUAGCUCAGUAUCAUGGAUUCGCUUGGGUGUUAAGAAACUAGGGACCAAGCUUACAAAAAUGCCGCUCAAGUCACCUCAUGCAGCUUGCCAUUUGAUCCGUAUGGUUUGUAUACUUAUUAAAGAAGAACAAAGUGCUGGUGAAGAGGUGACGUCGCUAAUGGAUUACCUUGAAUCGUGUCUUCGCCACAUUAAGUCUGAAAUGGUGAUCUACGAGGCUUCUCACGCGAUUGCAAACCUUCGUCGAACUGGAUCUCGUGAAUUGGCUCCUGCUAUCGCCGUGUUGCAGCUCUUCUGCUCCUCACCUAAGCCUGCCUUACGCUUUGCUGACGUUCGGACCCUAUGAAAUGUGGCAAUGACGCACCCCGCUGCUGUGACUGCUUGAAAUUUAUAUUUGGAGUAUUUUUUUACGGAUUCUAAUCGUUCAAUUGCCACUCUCGCUAUCACAACUCUGUUGAAGACUGGAGGAGAAGCCUCGGUUGAUCAGCUCAUGAAGCAGAUUGCCUCUUUUCUCUCAGAAAUCUCGGAUGAAUUUAAGGUGGUGGUCGUUGAAGCUAUUCGAUCGCUGGGAUUGAAGUAUCUGCGCAAGCACAGUACACUAGUGAGCUACACUAAUGAGCUUCCUGUCAGGAAUGCUUCGUGAUGAGGGUCGACUUGAGUACAAAGCUUCUAUUGCUGACACUUCAUAGCUAUCGUAGAAGACAAUCCGGAUGCCAAGGAGGCUGGAUUGACCCAUUUGUGCGAAUUGAUCGAAGAAUGCGAGCACACAAGUCUAUUAGCCGUGCGAAUCCUACAAUUACUUGGUCGAGAAGGUCCACGCACUAAACAGCCUUCGAAAUAUAUUCGAUUCAUCUAUAAUCGCGUCAUCCUGGAAAGUGCUGCAGUUCGAGCAGCUGCUGUGUCAGCUCUGUCGCAUUUUGGUGCGACUUGCGAAGAUUUAUUGCCUAACAUUUUAGUACUACUUCAACGAAGCCAAAUGGUAACCGAUGAUGAUGAAGUGAACGAUCGGGCUACUUACUUCUAUUCUGUUCUUUCCCGUAAAUAAGCGGCACUUAACAGCCAGUACAUAUCGGUAGGACUAACAGGCCUCUCUUGUAACCCUUGAGAAAGCUUUGUUGAACUAUGUUCACCAACCAACUGAGGCACCAUUUGAUCUCAAAUCUGUCUAGAGAUCAAAAUGAUAAAUGAUAAAUUUUGAAGUCUUGUAGAUUUGUAGCAAAUUAAAAGUAGGGCUGCUGAUAUUAGUAUCAGAUCCACAAAAAUGCAUUUUGAAUCACUGUUUGCUUAAAUUGAUCUUAAUUUAUUACGAUUAUCAUCGAUAUUAAAAGUCAUCGUUCUAAGAUUUACAACUUUUUCUCUUUCUUCAAAUGAUAAUUGAUUAUCUAGUAGCCUACUUCAUCUACAGUACAUUUUUAUUAUACAACUUUUUACCUUUAUUUAAAUCAAAAAUUUUACUGAUUCAACUAAUGAUUUUGUUGCCCCUAAACUAUUUGAACAGUAGCAUUGUUCCUCACAGUUUGGCUUGAUGCUAUACAAGAUUUUUUAGGUCUUCAUGCGUGGUCAUUGGUAUAUUUGUGAUAGCAGAAUCAAGAUAACGCACAAAAGGAAAAGUUAAAUCGAUAUUCAAAGAAGCAACUGAUGCCGCAUCGAUAUAAGAUAAAGAUACUUACAAAAAAUAUCACAUGUUUGAACAUGAUGAACCAUAUGCUGUUUAGUUGAUAAAAGCCUUGUGUAUUAUUUGAGCUGUUGAUUUGCAUAGUAAAACAUUCAUAGCUA
Molecule: long non-coding RNA, 2352 nt
Filed under: Daphnia pulicaria
Lineage: Eukaryota; Metazoa; Arthropoda; Branchiopoda; Diplostraca; Daphniidae
Description: uncharacterized LOC124342479, transcript variant X3
Source: RNAcentral